Molecule: long non-coding RNA, 1384 nt
Organism: Vidua chalybeata
Lineage: Eukaryota; Metazoa; Chordata; Aves; Passeriformes; Viduidae
Exons: 2
Source: RefSeq, a predicted model, not a curated record
CGCCCCCUCGGCGGCGGAGCCGGCAGAGCCCCGAACCCCCCGAACCCCGCCAGAACGCCUCCUGGUACCUCCGGUACCCCUCGAGCUCCCCGAACCUGGUACCCCCGAGGUUCCUGUGAUGCUUCCCACGGAGUUGUUCCCCCUCUGGAAUCCCUGUCACCCUCUGGAUGGGCCCGAGUCCCUUUUGCUGCCGUCGGGAUGUGAUCAGCCCCACGGAGCUGUUUGUUCAUCACCCUGUUCCCAUCGCUGGGAGCACAAUCUGAGCACAGCCCCACGUGCUCUGAUUUUCUAAGAGCCUCCUUAGAGGCUGAGCUGAGCAGGAAUCCUGAAUCCUGCUGCAUCCACGCUCAGGAAAACACCCAGCAGCUCCUGCUCCAGCACGGAUUUGCUGCUCAGAUCCCUGCAGGGCUGGGGGAUUCCUUGCUGGGGUUGGUUUGUCCACAAGGAUCAGCACAGCAGUGACCAAGCUCUGUAAGCACAGCAUGGACUUCACAUUUUUUGUCUUGGAAAAUGGAGAUCAGGACACUGUGUCCUCAUCUGGAGAGAAGAAAAGGAUCUCACAGCACAGUAUUAAGUGAAAAGCACUGUUUGCAUGAGGAGGUCUCAGCCAUGCAGAAGCUUUUGCAUUCCCUCCUUCACCCACAGCAGUGGUUGGGAAUAUCCAGGAUUGAAGCCCCAGCCUGGUCCCAGCCUGGCUCAAGCCCCACAGCGACGCCUCAAGGUUUAGCUUUUCUAUUUUUCACAUCCUGUGCUGCUUCAGUGUGUGGGUCUGGGCUUCACAUGAGGGGAUGCUGAGCUCUGUGCACAGAGCAGGGAGACAAAACAAUUCCUGCUCCAGCUGGGCACCAAGGACAAAUGAUCCAAAGCUCAGGCCCAGGAGCACAAACAGCGUGGGCUGGAGAGAGAAAAACAAGCAGGAUGGGAGUGCAUGGGCUGGAGCUGGAAUGGGACAAUGAACUGCAAGGUGCAAAUGGAGCAGAGCUGAUCCCAGUGAGAGCCCCCGGGAGCGCUCGUGCAUUUUGGGACCAUUUUGGUUCAUUUGGGUGCAGCCCUGGCUGGGCUCUGGUGCUGCCCAAGGUGGAUCCAUGGAGGAGAUCCUUUUAAUCAAUCCCUGCUUUAUCCUUUAGCUCUGUCCAGCCUCUGCUCUAGCUCAGCCUUCUCAAUGCACAAAUCUCAUGGAAACUUUCUUUUUUUCCCUUAGUUUCCACCUUAACCAAGAGUAUUAGCUCAAAGGACUCUAAUUAAAUAAUUGCCAACAGAAUACUGAGUAAAUACAAUGACAGAACUGCAACUUCAAUUAAAAAAAAAACCCAAAACUUUUUAUCUUCAUCCACCAAGCAUUAAACACAAUAAAAGCCCGUCUGGGGCUGAAUUCUUCUGGUCA